AUGAUCUCGUUGUUUCUAAGGGGGAAUAGGUUAUCAGGUAGAAUCCCAACGACACUUAUAAACAAUUCUGCCCUUGCAAUUAUGGACUUGAAUUCGAAUUUUCUACAAAUGGAAUUGCCAUCUAACAUUGGCGAUACUCUUCCUAAUCUCUGGGCACUUAGCUUGAGCGACAACAUGUUCGAAGGUCAAUUUCCAGCCUCCCUAGGCAACGCUUCUUUCCUGUCUAUAAUAUAUUUAGCAUCAAACAAUUUUACCGGCCAACUUCCGAGUUCUUUAGGAAACCUUCUACACCUAACUGACCUGAAACUCGAUGAAAACAAUUUUGAAGCAAAGGACGAUCAAGGCUGGAAGUUUUUAGAUGCAUUGAGUAAUUGUGGUUCUCUGCAAGUGCUCUCUUUAAAUGACAAUCAGCUCUAUGGACCCAUACCUCAUUCAGUUGGAAAUUUAUCAGCAAGUAUUCAAAGACUUGAAUUCGGUAACAACUACUUGUCAGGGACGGUUCCAUAG
This 507-nucleotide ribosomal RNA is filed under the name Triticum aestivum (bread wheat). Its description in RNAcentral is "partial small subunit ribosomal RNA". The record is from RNAcentral. Lineage: Eukaryota; Viridiplantae; Streptophyta; Magnoliopsida; Poales; Poaceae.